GACGAACGCUGGCGGCGUGCUUAACACAUGCAAGUCGAACGGAAAGGCCCUGCUUUUGUGGGGUGCUCGAGUGGCGAACGGGUGAGUAACACGUGAGUAACCUGCCCUUGACUUUGGGAUAACUUCAGGAAACUGGGGCUAAUACCGGAUAGGAGCUCCUGCUGCAUGGUGGGGGUUGGAAAGUUUCGGCGGUUGGGGAUGGACUCGCGGCUUAUCAGCUUGUUGGUGGGGUAGUGGCUUACCAAGGCUUUGACGGGUAGCCGGCCUGAGAGGGUGACCGGCCACAUUGGGACUGAGAUACGGCCCAGACUCCUACGGGAGGCAGCAGUGGGGAAUAUUGCACAAUGGGCGGAAGCCUGAUGCAGCAACGCCGCGUGCGGGAUGACGGCCUUCGGAUUGUAAACCGCUUUCGCCUGUGACGAAGCGUGAGUGACGGUAAUGGGUAAAGAAGCACCGGCUAACUACGUGCCAGCAGCCGCGGUGAUACGUAGGGUGCGAGCGUUGUCCGGGUUUAUUGGGCGUAAAGGGCUCGUAGGUGGUUGAUCGCGUCGGAAGUGUAAUCUUGGGGCUUAACCCUGAGCGUGCUUUCGAUACGGGUUGACUUGAGGAAGGUAGGGGAGAAUGGAAUUCCUGGUGGAGCGGUGGAAUGCGCAGAUAUCAGGAGGAACACCAGUGGCGAAGGCGGUUCUCUGGGCCUUUCCUGACGCUGAGGAGCGAAAGCGUGGGGAGCGAACAGGCUUAGAUACCCUGGUAGUCCACGCUGUAAACGGUGGGUACUAGGUGUGGGGUCCAUUCCACGGGUUCCGUGCCGUAACUAACGCUUUAAGUACCCCGCCUGGGGAGUACGGCCGCAAGGCUAAAACUCAAAGGAAUUGACGGGGCCCCGCACAAGCGGCGGAGCAUGCGGAUUAAUUCGAUGCAACGCGUAGAACCUUACCUGGGUUUGACAUGGAUCGGGAGUGCUCAGAGAUGGGUGUGCCUCUUUUGGGGUCGGUUCACAGGUGGUGCAUGGCUGUCGUCAGCUCGUGUCGUGAGAUGUUGGGUUAAGUCCCGCAACGAGCGCAACCCUUGUUCACUGUUGCCAGCACGUUAUGGUGGGGACUCAGUGGAGACCGCCGGGGUCGACUCGGAGGAAGGUGGGGAUGACGUCAAGUCAUCAUGCCCCUUAUGUCCAGGGCUUCACGCAUGCUACAAUGGCUGGUACAGAGAGUGGCGAGCCUGUGAGGGUGAGCGAAUCUCGGAAAGCCGGUCUCAGUUCGGAUUGGGGUCUGCAACUCGACCUCAUGAAGUCGGAGUCGCUAGUAAUCGCAGAUCAGCAACGCUGCGGUGAAUACGUUCCCGGGGCU
RNAcentral lists this ribosomal RNA (1346 nucleotides) under uncultured bacterium. Its description in RNAcentral is "partial 16S ribosomal RNA". It matches the Rfam family "Bacterial small subunit ribosomal RNA", at positions 28 to 1381 of the family's 1533-position model. The record is from RNAcentral.